GGGUUGUGAGGUUAAGCGACUAAGCGUACACGGUGGAUGCCCUGGCAGUCAGAGGCGAUGAAGGACGUGCUAAUCUGCGAUAAGCGUCGGUAAGGUGAUAUGAACCGUUAUAACCGGCGAUUUCCGAAUGGGGAAACCCAGUGUGUUUCGACACACUAUCAUUAACUGAAUCCAUAGGUUAAUGAGGCGAACCGGGGGAACUGAAACAUCUAAGUACCCCGAGGAAAAGAAAUCAACCGAGAUUCCCCCAGUAGCGGCGAGCGAACGGGGAGCAGCCCAGAGCCUGAAUCAGUAUGUGUGUUAGUGGAAGCGUCUGGAAAGGCGCGCGAUACAGGGUGACAGCCCCGUACACAAAAAUGCACAUAUUGUGAGCUCGAUGAGUAGGGCGGGACACGUGGUAUCCUGUCUGAAUAUGGGGGGACCAUCCUCCAAGGCUAAAUACUCCUGACUGACCGAUAGUGAACCAGUACCGUGAGGGAAAGGCGAAAAGAACCCCGGCGAGGGGAGUGAAAAAGAACCUGAAACCGUGUACGUACAAGCAGUGGGAGCACGCUUAGGCGUGUGACUGCGUACCUUUUGUAUAAUGGGUCAGCGACUUAUAUUCUGUAGCAAGGUUAACCGAAUAGGGGAGCCGAAGGGAAACCGAGUCUUAACUGGGCGUUAAGUUGCAGGGUAUAGACCCGAAACCCGGUGAUCUAGCCAUGGGCAGGUUGAAGGUUGGGUAACACUAACUGGAGGACCGAACCGACUAAUGUUGAAAAAUUAGCGGAUGACUUGUGGCUGGGGGUGAAAGGCCAAUCAAACCGGGAGAUAGCUGGUUCUCCCCGAAAGCUAUUUAGGUAGCGCCUCGUGAAUUCAUCUCCGGGGGUAGAGCACUGUUUCGGCAAGGGGGUCAUCCCGACUUACCAACCCGAUGCAAACUGCGAAUACCGGAGAAUGUUAUCACGGGAGACACACGGCGGGUGCUAACGUCCGUCGUGAAGAGGGAAACAACCCAGACCGCCAGCUAAGGUCCCAAAGUCAUGGUUAAGUGGGAAACGAUGUGGGAAGGCCCAGACAGCCAGGAUGUUGGCUUAGAAGCAGCCAUCAUUUAAAGAAAGCGUAAUAGCUCACUGGUCGAGUCGGCCUGCGCGGAAGAUGUAACGGGGCUAAACCAUGCACCGAAGCUGCGGCAGCGACGCUGAUGCGUUGUUGGGUAGGGGAGCGUUCUGUAAGCCUGCGAAGGUGUGCUGUGAGGCAUGCUGGAGGUAUCAGAAGUGCGAAUGCUGACAUAAGUAACGAUAAAGCGGGUGAAAAGCCCGCUCGCCGGAAGACCAAGGGUUCCUGUCCAACGUUAAUCGGGGCAGGGUGAGUCGACCCCUAAGGCGAGGCCGAAAGGCGUAGUCGAUGGGAAACAGGUUAAUAUUCCUGUACUUGGUGUUACUGCGAAGGGGGGACGGAGAAGGCUAUGUUGGCCGGGCGACGGUUGUCCCGGUUUAAGCGUGUAGGCUGGUUUUCCAGGCAAAUCCGGAAAAUCAAGGCUGAGGCGUGAUGACGAGGCACUACGGUGCUGAAGCAACAAAUGCCCUGCUUCCAGGAAAAGCCUCUAAGCAUCAGGUAACAUCAAAUCGUACCCCAAACCGACACAGGUGGUCAGGUAGAGAAUACCAAGGCGCUUGAGAGAACUCGGGUGAAGGAACUAGGCAAAAUGGUGCCGUAACUUCGGGAGAA
RNAcentral lists this ribosomal RNA (1710 nucleotides) under Escherichia coli. RNAcentral's name for it is "partial 23S ribosomal RNA". It matches the Rfam family "Bacterial large subunit ribosomal RNA", at positions 1 to 1744 of the family's 2925-position model. The record is from RNAcentral. Lineage: Bacteria; Pseudomonadati; Pseudomonadota; Gammaproteobacteria; Enterobacterales; Enterobacteriaceae.